Pelobates cultripes (western spadefoot toad) is the source of this 308-nucleotide non-coding RNA. Lineage: Eukaryota; Metazoa; Chordata; Amphibia; Anura; Pelobatidae. The record is from the annotation of a GenBank genome assembly.
CUGAGGUUAGUGUGAGGGAGUUAAGGGGUUAAUGGCUGAGGUUAGUGUGAGGGAGUUAUGGGGUUAAUGGCUGAGGUUACUGUGAGGGAGUUAAGGGGUUAAUGGCUGAGGUUAGUGUGAGGGAGUUAAGGGGUUAAUGGCUGAGAUUACUGUGAGGGAGUUAAGGGGUUAAUGGCUGAGGUUAAUGUGAGGGAGUUAAAGGGGUUAAUGGCUGAGGUUAGUGUGAGGGAGUUAUGGGGUUAAUGGCUGAGGUUACUGUGAGGGAGUUAAGGGGUUAAUGGCUGAGGUUAGUGUGAGGGAGUUAAAGG